AGUCUGCCCUCAAAAGGAUUUGAUAUAAUACAGACUUGAUGAGUUCUGAUGCUUAAAAAAAAAGAAAAGAAAAAAAGGCAUACAUAUCUUCUUCAGGAAAACCAAAGUGAUGGAUCUUUAUCAAAAUGAACUGAAAGUUGGAGUCUUAAAAAAAGAAAAACAGCUUUGGGUUUUACUGAUUUACUCUACUGUGACGUUUAAAGAAGUUAGUUGAUGCCUCUAUAACUAAUUACUAUGCCUUCCCAAAUCCACUGUUCUUUCUGAGAAGAGAGAACCUAGAGGUAACCACUAUUUGAACUUGGUGUUUAUCAUUCCUAAACAUAUUAUGUCCUUUUAUUACUACAUAUUGUCUAUCAACAAAAUAUAUAUACUAUUGAUUAUAGAUUUUUAAGCUUUAUACAGAUGACUUUUCCACAUAAUAAUCAAAUUUUUAAUUUUUACUCUGUUGACCAUAUACUGUAGGGUUUUUUUUAAUUAAUUAAUUUAUUUUUGGCUGCAUUGGGUCUCUUGCUGUGUGCGGGCUUUCUCUAGUUGCGGCAAGCGGGGGCUACUCUUCGUUGCGGUGUGCAGGCUUCUCAUUGUGGUAGCUUCUCUUUUUGCGGAGCACAGGCUCUAGGUGUGCAGGCUUCAGUAGUUGUGGCAGGCGGGCUCAGUAGUUAUGGCUCGCGGGCUCUAGAGCACAGCCUCAGUAGUUGUGGUGCACGGGCUUAGUUGCUCCGCGGCAUGUGGGAUCUUCCCGGACCAGGGCUCGAUCCCAUGUCCCCUGCACUGGCGGGUGGAUUCUUAACCACUGUGCCACCAGGGAAGUCCUAUACUGUAGUUUUACUUCAUUUUAACUGCAGUUAUACCAUCAUUCAUUUUUAGAGUUAUUUCAGUAACCUUUGAUUACUCACUUACUGCCUUCAAUGAUUAUGCAUUUAUUGAGGCUUUCUAUUUCUUUUUUAAGCCAAUUAUCAUAAAGUUGGUUAUAGUACUCUCUUAAUAGUUUAAGAAACUCAACUACAUUUCUAACUGGCAUGUACUUUUUUUCUAACAAUUUUUUUUAUUUUUCUUUUUUACCAUUAUCAAUUUCUGAUCAGUUGAUUAGCAUUUUUCCCUUUCUGAGAGAAAUUUUGGUAUUCUUGUCCCUUUAUCUUUUUUCAUUAUCUGUAUCAUUAAUUUCUGCCCUUAUAUUUAUUAUUUCACUCCUUUUACUCUCUCAAUAUUUAUUCUGUUUUUUCUUUUUCUAGUUUCUUAAGGAGAAUAUUUAAACUAACUUAUUUCCAGUAUUUUAAAUUAAUGCAUUAAAGUAAUACAUUUAUUUAUGUUUAGUUGUAUUCCCUGAGUUUUGAUAUGUGGUGCUUUCAUUGCUGUUCAUUUAUAAAUAUUUUAUAAUUUCCAUUAUGAAUUACAUAGGAGUACAACUUGAUUUUUCAGUCCCUCAAAUUUUUGUUUUUGUUUCACUACAUUUCCAAUGCCAAUUUUAAAUUUAAUUGCAGUAUUAUCAGAUAACUGGUGUUUUUAAUAUUUGUCCCUUGAAAUUUAUUGAAACUUCCUUUAUAUCCCAAUGCCUGUCAUACUUUUGUAUUUCAUGUAUAUUUAAAAUAUAUAUAUGCGUAUAUCAUUUCUGUUUGUAGUGUAAGAAUUUUGUAUAUAUCUAAUGAUUUAGCUUAUUAGUUUUGUUGUUAGACUCUUUUCUGGUUUUUUCUUAAUUCAUUUAUGAUAGAGUAUGUUAAAAUCUCAAAUAAAAUCUUGGAUAGGCAUGCGGAAGCUUUUAACAGUCACAAUUUUCCUGU
This is a long non-coding RNA of Orcinus orca (killer whale), 1775 nucleotides long. RefSeq lists it as uncharacterized. Lineage: Eukaryota; Metazoa; Chordata; Mammalia; Artiodactyla; Delphinidae. The record is from RefSeq and is a predicted model, not a curated record. The transcript is spliced from 4 exons.